RNAcentral lists this ribosomal RNA (440 nucleotides) under uncultured bacterium. Its description in RNAcentral is "bacterial SSU rRNA". It matches the Rfam family "Bacterial small subunit ribosomal RNA", at positions 340 to 774 of the family's 1533-position model. The record is from RNAcentral.
UACGGAAGGCAGCAGUGGGGAAUAUUGCACAAUGGGCGCAAGCCUGAUGCAGCCAUGCCGCGUGUAUGAAGAAGGCCUUCGGGUUGUAAAGUACUUUCAGUCGUGAGGAAGGUGUUAAGGUUAAUAACCUUAGCAAUUGACGUUAGCGACAGAAGAAGCACCGGCUAACUCCGUGCCAGCAGCCGCGGUAAUACGGAGGGUGCGAGCGUUAAUCGGAAUUACUGGACGUAAAGGGCACGCAGGCGGUUAAUUAAGUUGGAUGUGAAAUCCCCGGGCUUAACCUGGGAAUGGCAUUCAAGACUGGUUAGCUAGAGUCUUGUAGAGGGGGUAGAAUUCCAUGUGUAGCGGUGAAAUGCGUAGAGAUGUGGAGGAAUCCGGUGGCGAAGGCGGCCCCUGGACAAAGACUGACGCUCAUGGUGCGAAAGCGUGGGGAGCAAACG